AACAAGGCAGCAGAGGUGCUCAAAGU
Molecule: non-coding RNA, 26 nt
Filed under: Cricetulus griseus (Chinese hamster)
Lineage: Eukaryota; Metazoa; Chordata; Mammalia; Rodentia; Cricetidae
Source: RNAcentral